GGGGGUAUAGCUCAGUUGGUUAGAGCGCCUGAUUGACAUUCAGGAGGUCGAUGGUUCAAGUCCAUCUACUCCCACCA
Molecule: transfer RNA, 77 nt
Filed under: bacterium
Lineage: Bacteria
Also listed under: 3 other names
Description: tRNA-Val
Rfam family: tRNA
About the family: Transfer RNA (tRNA) molecules are approximately 80 nucleotides in length. Their secondary structure includes four short double-helical elements and three loops (D, anti-codon, and T loops).
Source: RNAcentral